This 256-nucleotide ribosomal RNA is filed under the name uncultured bacterium. RNAcentral's name for it is "partial 16S ribosomal RNA". It matches the Rfam family "Bacterial small subunit ribosomal RNA", at positions 524 to 776 of the family's 1533-position model. The record is from RNAcentral.
UACGUAGGGUGCAAGCGUUAAUCGGAAUUACUGGGCGUAAAGCGUGCGCAGGCGGUUAUGUAAGACAGGUGUGAAAUCCCCGGGCUUAACCUGGGAACUGCAUUUGUGACUGCAUAGCUAGAGUACGGGUAGAGGGGGAUGGAAUUCCGCGUGUAGCAGUGAAAUGCGUAGAUAUGACGGAGGAACACCGAUGGCGAAGGCAAUCCCCUGGACCUGUACUGACGCUCAUGGCACGAAAGCGUGGGGAGCAAACAGG